AAUAUUGGACAAUGGGCGAAAGCCUGAUCCAGCCAUGCCGCGUGUGUGAAGAAGGUCUUCGGAUUGUAAAGCACUUUAAGUUGGGAGGAAGGGUUGUAGGUUAAUACCCUGCAAUUUUGACGUUACCAACAGAAUAAGCACCGGCUAACUACGUGCCAGCAGCCGCGGUAAAACGUAGGAGGCAAGCGUUAUCCGGAGUUACUGGGCGUAAAGCGCGAGCAGGCGGUUAGGCAAGUUGGGUGUGAAAGCUCCCGGCUAAACCGGGAGAGUGCAUUCAAGACUGACGGGCUAGAGUACGGUAGAGGGUAGUGGAAUUUCCUGUGUAGCGGUGAAAUGCGUAGAUAUAGGAAGGAACAUCAGUGGCGAAGGCGACUACCUGGACUGAUACUGACACUGAGGUGCGAAAGCGUGGGGAGCAAACAGG
RNAcentral lists this ribosomal RNA (424 nucleotides) under uncultured bacterium. RNAcentral describes it as "partial 16S ribosomal RNA". It matches the Rfam family "Bacterial small subunit ribosomal RNA", at positions 360 to 776 of the family's 1533-position model. The record is from RNAcentral.